This 1434-nucleotide ribosomal RNA is filed under the name Triticum aestivum (bread wheat). Its description in RNAcentral is "partial small subunit ribosomal RNA". The record is from RNAcentral. Lineage: Eukaryota; Viridiplantae; Streptophyta; Magnoliopsida; Poales; Poaceae.
AUGGAUCUUGCAAUAUCUGCCGUUACAGGUGACCUCGCCAGCCGAUUCAUCUCUUUUCUCAUGAACAAAUACGCGGAUCAUCUAUGCUCGGAGGAGAAGGCGGAGAGGCUGCAGCAACUCCUGUUGAGAGUUCACACGGUCGUCGAGGAGGCGGACGGACGAUGCAUCACCAACUCUUGUAUGCUCAUGCAGUUGAAAAAGCUGUCGACCCUCAUGUACCAAGGGUACCAUGUGUUGGACAACAUCAGGUACAGGCAAGAUAAGGAGACAUCUAAGGAUUUGGUCAGCGAUUCAUUUACCUCGUCUGAUUAUAUCAUUCCAUUCAAACGUGCUCGCACAAGUUCUUCGACAAACAAGGCCACCAACUCGGAGUUACAAAGUGCACUUCAGAGUCUGGAAGCUGUUGUUGACCACAUGGUGGAGUUCGUCGUGCUUUUGGCCGGAUGCGAGCGCGUCUCCCGGAGACCGUAUGAUGCCUAUCUUCAGGUCGACAACUUCAUGUUUGGUCGGCAUGUCGAGAAGCAGAAGAUCAUCAACUUCUUGCUGCAACAGCACAUACCUGGUCCUCCGGCGGUACUACCGAUCAUUGGUGGACGUGGAGUUGGGAAGAAAACCCUUGUGGCACAUGUAUGCAGGUAUGACAGGGUGCGUUCUCACUUCACAGUUAUUUUGCACCUGAGUGGAGACGGUCUUACCAAAAUAACAGACAAUGAAAUUCCGUCAGGGAAGAUACUGGUAGUUGUCGAGUUUGCUUCUGAUGUAGAUGCCGAUGACUGGAGGACAUUCUAUUCAUCUGUUACCAGCAUGGACAGAGGAAGCAAAGUUAUAAUCUUAGGCCGAAAUGAAAGCUUGAAGAAACUUGGGACCGUACAGACUAUUUCUCUGAACCGUCUGGCAUUCGAAGAGUACAAUUACCUGCUCAAGACGCUCGCAUUCGGAAGCGCGAACCCGGGAGACCAUCCGCGGUUAGCAACGAUAGUGGAAGAGUUUGCUGUAGUGUUGGGAGGAUCACUCAUCCCAGCAAACUUGAUUGCACAUGCACUGAGAAAGAACCUGAAUGCCCAUUUCUGGCUUAGCACAUUGAACAGGAUCAGAAUCACAAUGAAGAUGAACAUUUCCAGGUUUGGCGUCCAUCCAAAUGAGCUGUUGGAUCAAGGCCGUCCGGUACACCUCGGCCCUCACUACCUCUUGUCUCCUGCUGCUCCCUCUCCUAGCUCUCCAAAUAGCAGUCUACCCAAACUGGUUUUUGGGGAUUCGCUAGCAGAAGCAGGCCGUACUGUUCCACCAAAGGGAGAUUUUUGGCUAAUCGCAUGGGAGUCAAGGUUACCUCCAUACACUUCAUUUGCUCAUCUGGUUCGCUUUGUUCCAAGUUGUGUUGAUGAUAAACCUGAAGCAUCCUUGUCAGGGAAGAAGCGUCUGGGGCCAUCUGCCUAG